This 24-nucleotide non-coding RNA is filed under the name Arabidopsis thaliana (thale cress). The record is from RNAcentral. Lineage: Eukaryota; Viridiplantae; Streptophyta; Magnoliopsida; Brassicales; Brassicaceae.
GAAGAAAAAGAUUGUCGGCUACCU